UACGUAGGGGGCGAGCGUUGUCCGAAUUUACUGGGCGUAAAGCGCGCGUAGGCGGUCUUUUAAGUCUGGGGUGAAAGGUUCAGCGCUCAACGCGAACAGUGCCCUGGAUACUGGGGGACUUGAGUGUGGCAGGGGGUGGCGGAAUUCCUGGUGUAGCGGUGAAAUGCGUAGAUAUCAGGAGGAACACCGGUGGCGAAGGCGGCCACCUGGGCUAACACUGACGCUGAGGCGCGAAAGCGUGGGGAGCGAACGGG
This 254-nucleotide ribosomal RNA is filed under the name uncultured bacterium. RNAcentral describes it as "partial 16S ribosomal RNA". It matches the Rfam family "Bacterial small subunit ribosomal RNA", at positions 524 to 776 of the family's 1533-position model. The record is from RNAcentral.